AGCAGCCGCGGUAAUUCCAGCUCCAAUAGCGUAUAUUAAAGUUGUUGCAGUUAAAAAGCUCGUAGUUGAAUUUCGGGAUCAAUAUGUCGGUCGUGCCUCCGGUACGUACUGGCAUCAUUGAUUUCUCCCUUCUGACGAACCAUGAUGUCAUUAAUUUGGUGUCAUGGGGAGUCAGAACUGUUACUUUGAAAAAAUUAGAGUGUUUAAAGCAGGCUCACGCUUGAAUACAUUAGCAUGGAAUAAUGAAAUAGGACGUUUGACCCUAUUUUGUUGGUUUCUAGGAUCAACGUAAUGAUUAAUAGGGAUAGUUGGGGGCAUUAGUAUUCAAUUGUCAGAGGUGAAAUUCUUGGAUUUAUUGAAGACUAACUACUGCGAAAGCAUUUGCCAAGGAUGUUUUCAUUAAUCAAGAACGAAAGUUAGGGGAUCGAAGACGAUCAGAUACCGUCGUAG
This 450-nucleotide ribosomal RNA is filed under the name uncultured Glomeromycotina. RNAcentral describes it as "SSU rRNA". It matches the Rfam family "Eukaryotic small subunit ribosomal RNA", at positions 569 to 1023 of the family's 1831-position model. Lineage: Eukaryota; Fungi; Glomeromycota. The record is from RNAcentral.